RNAcentral lists this ribosomal RNA (164 nucleotides) under Pachyrhizus erosus (jicama). Its description in RNAcentral is "5.8S ribosomal RNA". Lineage: Eukaryota; Viridiplantae; Streptophyta; Magnoliopsida; Fabales; Fabaceae. The record is from RNAcentral.
SAAACAUGUUUGUGAAGUGCAAUUCYYGUGGGCUCGGAGACGAUGUCCCCACGARCGGUCGUUCUUCACGAUACAAUUGKAUWCAUCCAAAAAKCCUUUCGGCAACGAAUAUCUGGGCUCUUGGAUCCCUAAAGAACGAAGGCAAAUGCGAUACUGGGUCAKAC